This 326-nucleotide ribosomal RNA is filed under the name uncultured eukaryote. RNAcentral's name for it is "partial 18S ribosomal RNA". It matches the Rfam family "Eukaryotic small subunit ribosomal RNA", at positions 1470 to 1796 of the family's 1831-position model. The record is from RNAcentral.
CCCUUAGAUGUCCUGGGCCGCACGCGCGCUACACUGAUACGUUCAACGAGCUCCCCUUGGUCGAGAGGCCUAGGUAAUCUUUUGAACGCGUAUCGUGAUAGGGAUAGACCUUUGCAAUUAUUGGUCUUGAACGAGGAAUUCCUAGUAAACGCGAGUCAUCAGCUCGCAUUGAUUACGUCCCUGCCCUUUGUACACACCGCCCGUCGCACCUACCGAUUGAACGAUUCGGUGAAAACUCCGGACUGUGGUUGUGCGCCCUUUAUUGGGAGCGCUUCCGUGGAAAGUUGUGUAAACCUCAUCGUUUAGAGGAAGGUGAANUCGUANCA